Molecule: ribosomal RNA, 253 nt
Filed under: uncultured bacterium
Lineage: Bacteria
Description: partial 16S ribosomal RNA
Rfam family: Bacterial small subunit ribosomal RNA
Source: RNAcentral
UACGUAGGCAGCGAGCGUUGUUCGGAGUUACUGGGCGUAAAGGGCGCGUAGGCGGGUGUUUAAGUCAGAGGUUAAAUCCCAGAGCUCAACUCUGGAACUGCCUUUGAUACUGGACACCUAGAGUUCGGGAGAGGUGUGUGGAACUCCGAGUGUAGAGGUGAAAUUCGUAGAUAUUCGGAAGAACACCAGUGGCGAAGGCGACACACUGGCCCGAUACUGACGCUGAGGCGCGAAAGCGUGGGGAGCAAACAGG